Molecule: ribosomal RNA, 457 nt
Filed under: uncultured Sphingobacteriales bacterium
Lineage: Bacteria; Pseudomonadati; Bacteroidota; Sphingobacteriia; Sphingobacteriales
Description: bacterial SSU rRNA
Rfam family: Bacterial small subunit ribosomal RNA
Source: RNAcentral
GCACAAGCGGUGGAGCAUGUGGUUUAAUUCGAUGAUACGCGAGGAACCUUACCUGGGCUCAAAUGUAUGUUGACGUAUUCUGAAAGGGAUACUUCUUCGGACAAUAUACAAGGUGCUGCAUGGUUGUCGUCAGCUCGUGCCGUGAGGUGUCGGGUUAAGUCCCAUAACGAGCGCAACCCCUAUCAUUAGUUGCCAUCAGGUCAAGCUGGGGACUCUAAUGAAACUGCCUACGCAAGUAGUGAGGAAGGUGGGGAUGACGUCAAAUCAGCACGGCCCUUACGUCCAGGGCUACACACGUGCUACAAUGGCCGGUACAAAGGGUUGCCAAGCCGCGAGGUGGAGCUAAUCCCAUAAAACCGAUCGUAGUCCGGAUCGCAGUCUGCAACUCGACUGCGUGAAGUCGGAAUCGCUAGUAAUCGCGAAUCAGAAUGUCACGGUGAAUACGUUCCCGGGCCUU